ACGAACGCUGGCGGCGUGCCUAAUACAUGCAAGUCGAGCGGAAUGAUGAAGAAGCUUGCUUCUUCUGAUUUUAGCGGCGGACGGGUGAGUAACACGUGGGCAACCUACCUUGUAGAUUGGGAUAACUCCGGGAAACCGGGGCUAAUACCGAAUAAUCCAUUUUGCUUCAUGGCGAGAUGUUGAAAGACGGUUUCGGCUGUCACUAUAAGAUGGGCCCGCGGCGCAUUAGCUAGUUGGUAGGGUAAUGGCCUACCAAGGCGACGAUGCGUAGCCGACCUGAGAGGGUGAUCGGCCACACUGGGACUGAGACACGGCCCAGACUCCUACGGGAGGCAGCAGUAGGGAAUCUUCCACAAUGGACGAAAGUCUGAUGGAGCAACGCCGCGUGAGUGAAGAAGGUUUUCGGAUCGUAAAACUCUGUUGCAAGGGAAGAACACGUACGAGAGUAACUGCUCGUACCUUGACGGUACCUUAUUAGAAAGCCACGGCUAACUACGUG
This 499-nucleotide ribosomal RNA is filed under the name uncultured bacterium. RNAcentral's name for it is "bacterial SSU rRNA". It matches the Rfam family "Bacterial small subunit ribosomal RNA", at positions 29 to 507 of the family's 1533-position model. The record is from RNAcentral.